RNAcentral lists this transfer RNA (85 nucleotides) under Bacilli bacterium. RNAcentral's name for it is "tRNA-Leu". It matches the Rfam family "tRNA". Rfam says of the family: Transfer RNA (tRNA) molecules are approximately 80 nucleotides in length. Their secondary structure includes four short double-helical elements and three loops (D, anti-codon, and T loops). The record is from RNAcentral. Lineage: Bacteria; Bacillati; Bacillota; Bacilli.
GCGGAUAUGAUGGAACUGGUAGACAUGCAAGACUUAGAAUCUUGUGAGGCGACUCGUGCAGGUUCGAUUCCUGUUAUCCGCACCA